This 83-nucleotide transfer RNA is filed under the name Helianthus annuus (common sunflower). Its description in RNAcentral is "tRNA HanXRQr2_Chr06g0261821". The record is from RNAcentral. Lineage: Eukaryota; Viridiplantae; Streptophyta; Magnoliopsida; Asterales; Asteraceae.
GUUAUAUAGCCCAGUUGGUCAGGGGAGUUUUUCGUAAGGUUUCUCCUCUCGGGAGGUCUCAGGUUCGACUCCUGCUGUGUAUA